Dioscorea cayenensis subsp. rotundata (Guinea yam) is the source of this 107-nucleotide small nucleolar RNA. The record is from RefSeq and is a predicted model, not a curated record. NCBI's taxonomy places the organism in Eukaryota, Viridiplantae, Streptophyta, Magnoliopsida, Dioscoreales, Dioscoreaceae.
AAACCCUGUUGUGGACACUUCCGCAAGAGGUCCUUGAAUCACUCCCAAGUCUCAAACAAGGAUUCAAGAUCCAUCUGAACAAAUGAAGAUAUAUUAUUGUGAAGCUU